GAGUUUGAUCAUGGCUCAGGACGAACGCUGGCGGCGCGCUUAACACAUGCAAGUCGAGCGAGAACCAGGCCUUCGGGCCUGGGGACAGCGGCGAACGGGGUGAGUAACACGUGGGUAAUCAACCCUCGAUACUGGGAUAGCCCGGGGAAACCCGGAUUAAUACCGGAUGGCCCUUUGGAUCCUCGGAUCUGAAGGAAAAGGUAGCUUCGGCCUCCGAUCGAGGACGAGCCCGCGGCGGAUUAGCUUGUUGGUGAGGUAACGGCUCACCAAGGCGACGAUCCGUAGCUGGUCUGAGAGGACGAUCAGCCACACUGGGACUGAGACACGGCCCAGACUCCUACGGGAGGCAGCAGUGGGGAAUCUUGCGCUAAUGCGGGAAACCGUGACGCAGCGACGCCGCGUGAGGG
Molecule: ribosomal RNA, 407 nt
Filed under: uncultured bacterium
Lineage: Bacteria
Description: bacterial SSU rRNA
Rfam family: Bacterial small subunit ribosomal RNA
Source: RNAcentral